RNAcentral lists this unclassified non-coding RNA (317 nucleotides) under uncultured fungus. Its description in RNAcentral is "partial contains 5.8S ribosomal RNA and internal transcribed spacer 2". The stretch from base 1 to 133 matches the Rfam family "5.8S ribosomal RNA", at positions 22 to 154 of the family's 154-position model. The record is from RNAcentral. Lineage: Eukaryota; Fungi.
UGGUUCUGGCAUCGAUGAAGAACGCAGCGAAAUGCGAUAAGUAAUGUGAAUUGCAGAAUUCAGUGAAUCAUCGAAUCUUUGAACGCACAUUGCGCCCCUUGGUAUUCCGAGGGGCAUGCCUGUUCGAGCGUCAUUACAACCCUCAAGCUAUGCUUGGUGUUGGGCCACGUCGCUAACCGCGGCAGGCCCUAAAUUCAGUGGCGGUGCUGCUGGGCCCUAAGCGUAGUAACCUAUCUCGCUACAGGUCCUGGUAGGUGCUUGCCAUCAACCCCUAAUUUUUAAUGGUUGACCUCGGAUCAGGUAGGGAUACCCGCUGA